UAAUACGAAGGAUCCAAGCGUUGUCCGGAUUUACUGGGUUUAAAGGGUGCGUAGGCGGGGAAUUAAGUCAGUGGUGAAAGCUGGUAGCUCAACUAUCAAAUUGCCAUUGAAACUGAUUCUCUCGAGUACGGUUGAGGUAGCUGGAAUGUAACAUGUAGCGGUGAAAUGCUUAGAUAUGUUACAGAACACCGAUUGCGAAGGCAGGCUACUAAACCGUAACUGACGCUGAGGCACGAAAGCGUGGGGAUCAAACAGG
This 256-nucleotide ribosomal RNA is filed under the name uncultured bacterium. RNAcentral's name for it is "partial 16S ribosomal RNA". It matches the Rfam family "Bacterial small subunit ribosomal RNA", at positions 521 to 776 of the family's 1533-position model. The record is from RNAcentral.